This 253-nucleotide ribosomal RNA is filed under the name uncultured bacterium. Its description in RNAcentral is "partial 16S ribosomal RNA". It matches the Rfam family "Bacterial small subunit ribosomal RNA", at positions 524 to 776 of the family's 1533-position model. The record is from RNAcentral.
UACAGAGGCCUCGAGCGUUAGGCGGAAUCACUGGGCUUAAAGCGUGUGUAGGCGGACCCCUAAGUACCUUGUGAAAUCCCACGGCUCACCCGUGGAACGGCUGGGUAUACUGGAGGUCUUGAGCCACCUAGGGGCGAGUGGAACAAAUGGUGGAGCGGUGAAAUGCGUAGAUAUCAUUUGGAACGCCAAUGGUGAAAACAACUCGCUGGGGGUGUGCUGACGCUGAGGUGCGAAAGCGUGGGGAGCAAACAGG